Molecule: non-coding RNA, 24 nt
Filed under: Arabidopsis thaliana (thale cress)
Lineage: Eukaryota; Viridiplantae; Streptophyta; Magnoliopsida; Brassicales; Brassicaceae
Source: RNAcentral
AAGUAACGUCCUGCCAAACCCGUC